Molecule: transfer RNA, 68 nt
Filed under: Elateridae sp. 3 ACP-2013
Lineage: Eukaryota; Metazoa; Arthropoda; Insecta; Coleoptera; Elateridae
Description: tRNA-Arg
Source: RNAcentral
UAAAUAAGAAACAAAUAGUUGUAAUUAGUUUCGACCUAGUAUAUUGAUGAUCAAAUUCAUCCUUAUUU